AUUGAACGCUGGCGGCAGGCCUAACACAUGCAAGUCGAGCGGAUGAAGGGAGCUUGCUCCUGGAUUCAGCGGCGGACGGGUGAGUAAUGCCUAGGAAUCUGCCUGGUAGUGGGGGAUAACGUCCGGAAACGGGCGCUAAUACCGCAUACGUCCUGAGGGAGAAAGUGGGGGAUCUUCGGACCUCACGCUAUCAGAUGAGCCUAGGUCGGAUGAGCUAGUUGGUGGGGUAAAGGCCUACCAAGGCGACGAUCCGUAACUGGUCUGAGAGGAUGAUCAGUCACACUGGAACUGAGACACGGUCCAGACUCCUACGGGAGGCAGCAGUGGGGAAUAUUGGACAAUGGGCGAAAGCCUGAUCCAGCCAUGCCGCGUGUGUGAAGAAGGUCUUCGGAUUGUAAAGCACUUUAAGUUGGGAGGAAGGGCAGUAAGUUAAUACCUUGCUGUUUUGACGUUACCAACAGAAUAAGCACCGGCUAACUUCGUG
Molecule: ribosomal RNA, 484 nt
Filed under: uncultured bacterium
Lineage: Bacteria
Description: partial 16S ribosomal RNA
Rfam family: Bacterial small subunit ribosomal RNA
Source: RNAcentral